UUAGGCAGGAAAGGGUGGUGUGUCCAGGUCUCGUCAAUAUACUCAAGAAUGACAAGUGAUUCUGCAAUUGGCUUUCCAUUGUGAACGAGGACAGGAACUUUUUUGUGAACUGGGUUAUAAUGAAGGAGCAAAGGACUCUUAUUGGAGAGGUCUUCCUCUAUGUAUUCAUACUUGAUCCCUUUUAGUUUCAGUGCUAGCUGUAUUCUGAGAGUGAAA
RNAcentral lists this unclassified non-coding RNA (216 nucleotides) under Hevea brasiliensis (rubber tree). Lineage: Eukaryota; Viridiplantae; Streptophyta; Magnoliopsida; Malpighiales; Euphorbiaceae. The record is from RNAcentral.